RNAcentral lists this ribosomal RNA (505 nucleotides) under uncultured bacterium. RNAcentral's name for it is "partial 16S ribosomal RNA". It matches the Rfam family "Bacterial small subunit ribosomal RNA", at positions 28 to 507 of the family's 1533-position model. The record is from RNAcentral.
GACGAACGCUGGCGGCGUGCCUAAUACAUGCAAGUGGGACGCAAGGAAACACACUGUGCUUGCACACCGUGUUUUCUUGAGUCGCGAACGGGUGAGUAACGCGUAGGUAACCUGCCUAUUAGCGGGGGAUAACUAUUGGAAACGAUAGCUAAUACCGCAUAAUAUUAAUUAUUGCAUGAUAAUUGAUUGAAAGAUGCAAGCGCAUCACUAGUAGAUGGACCUGCGUUGUAUUAGCUAGUUGGUAAGGUAAGAGCUUACCAAGGCGACGAUACAUAGCCGACCUGAGAGGGUGAUCGGCCGCACUGGGACUGAGACACGGCCCAGACUCCUACGGGAGGCAGCAGUAGGGAAUCUUCGGCAAUGGACGAAAGUCUGACCGAGCAACGCCGCGUGAGUGAAGAAGGUUUUCGGAUCGUAAAGCUCUGUUGUAAGUCAAGAACGUGUGUGAGAGUGGAAAGUUCACACAGUGACGGUAGCUUACCAGAAAGGGACGGCUAACUACGUG